This is a long non-coding RNA of Carassius gibelio (silver crucian carp), 338 nucleotides long. RefSeq lists it as uncharacterized. The record is from RefSeq and is a predicted model, not a curated record. NCBI's taxonomy places the organism in Eukaryota, Metazoa, Chordata, Actinopteri, Cypriniformes, Cyprinidae. The transcript is spliced from 3 exons.
AUAUAAAAUAAAUAUACUGUCCAUCCAGAGGUGAAAACUAAAUAUGCUGUCUAUCCAGAGGUGAAAAUAUAAAAUAAAUAUAUGUCAAUCCAGAGGUGAAAAUAUAAAAUAAAUAUACUGUCUAUCCAGAGGAGAAAAUAUAAAAUAAAAAAAUGUCAAUCCAGAGGUGAGAACUAAAUAUGCUGUCUAUCCAGAGGUGAGAACUAAAUAUGCUGUCUAUCCAGAGGUGAAAAUAUAAAAUAAAUAUACUGUCUAUCCAGAGGUGAGAACUAAAUAUGCUGUCUAUCCAGAGGUGAGAACUAAAUAUGCUGUCUAUCCAGAGGUGAGAACUAAAUAUG